Molecule: transfer RNA, 74 nt
Filed under: Bacteroides reticulotermitis
Lineage: Bacteria; Pseudomonadati; Bacteroidota; Bacteroidia; Bacteroidales; Bacteroidaceae
Also listed under: 1 other name
Description: tRNA-Pro
Rfam family: tRNA
About the family: Transfer RNA (tRNA) molecules are approximately 80 nucleotides in length. Their secondary structure includes four short double-helical elements and three loops (D, anti-codon, and T loops). Further hydrogen bonds mediate the characteristic L-shaped molecular structure. tRNAs have two regions of fundamental functional importance: the anti-codon, which is responsible for specific mRNA codon recognition, and the 3' end, to which the tRNAs corresponding amino acid is attached (by aminoacyl-tRNA synthetases). tRNAs cope with the degeneracy of the genetic code in two manners: having more than one tRNA (with a specific anti-codon) for a particular amino acid; and 'wobble' base-pairing, i.e. permitting non-standard base-pairing at the 3rd anti-codon position.
Source: RNAcentral
CGGGAUGUAGCUCAGCCCGGUAGAGUGCUCGUCUGGGGGGCGAGUGGUCGCAAGUUCGAAUCUUGUCAUCCCGA